UCAGGCCUAACACAUGCAAGUCGAACGGUAACAGGCCUUCGGGCGCUGACGAGUGGCGGACGGGUGCGUAACGCGUAGGAAUCUGCCUGUUAGUGGGGGACAACGUGGGGAAACUCACGCUAAUACCGCAUACGCCCUACGGGGGAAAGCGGGGGACCUUCGGGCCUCGCGCUAACAGAUGAGCCUGCGUUGGAUUAGCUAGUUGGUAGGGUAAAGGCCUACCAAGGCGACGAUCCAUAGCUGGUCUGAGAGGACGAUCAGCCACACUGGGACUGAGACACGGCCCAGACUCCUACGGGAGGCAGCAGUGGGGAAUAUUGGACAAUGGGCGCAAGCCUGAUCCAACAGUACCGCGUGUGUGAAGAAGGCCUGAGGGUGUAAAUAAAGGUAAUCGGGAGGAACAUCUACGGGUUAACACCCCGAGUCUGACA
Molecule: ribosomal RNA, 431 nt
Filed under: uncultured bacterium
Lineage: Bacteria
Description: bacterial SSU rRNA
Rfam family: Bacterial small subunit ribosomal RNA
Source: RNAcentral